Molecule: ribosomal RNA, 196 nt
Filed under: uncultured bacterium
Lineage: Bacteria
Description: partial 16S ribosomal RNA
Rfam family: Bacterial small subunit ribosomal RNA
Source: RNAcentral
ACGCUCGACACCUACGGGAGCAGCAGUGGGGAAUAUUGCACAAUGGGGGAAACCCUGAUGCAGCAACGCCGCGUGAAGGAAGACGGUUUUCGGAUUGUAAACUUCUGUUCUUAGUGAAGAUAGUGACGGUAGCUAAGGAGCAAGCCACGGCUAACUACGUGCACAGCCGCGGUAAUCUGAGCGGGCGUGGCAAGGC